This 253-nucleotide ribosomal RNA is filed under the name uncultured bacterium. RNAcentral's name for it is "partial 16S ribosomal RNA". It matches the Rfam family "Bacterial small subunit ribosomal RNA", at positions 524 to 776 of the family's 1533-position model. The record is from RNAcentral.
UACAGAGGUCUCAAGCGUUGUUCGGAUUCAUUGGGCGUAAAGGGUGCGUAGGUGGCAUGGUCAGUCGGAUGUGAAAUCCCGGGGCUCAACCCCGGAACUGCAUUCGAUACUGCCGUGCUGGAGUACUGGAGAGGAGAUUGGAAUUCACGGUGUAGCAGUGAAAUGCGUAGAUAUCGUAAGGAAGACCAGUGGCGAAGGCGGAUCUCUGGACAGUUACUGACACUGAGGCACGAAGGCCAGGGGAGCAAACGGG